Xenopus laevis (African clawed frog) is the source of this 497-nucleotide long non-coding RNA. RefSeq lists it as uncharacterized. The transcript is spliced from 2 exons. NCBI's taxonomy places the organism in Eukaryota, Metazoa, Chordata, Amphibia, Anura, Pipidae. The record is from RefSeq and is a predicted model, not a curated record.
CCACAUGCACUCCCACAUUGGCUCAAACAGAAGGGGGUGGGGUGAAGAGCGGCAGAGAAAAAGGAUUGGAUAUGCUAAUAAGUCAGAUAGAGAGCCUGUCUGUUUAGGAUUUAGGGAGAGAGGGAAAAUAAACAGUUGUGAAGACACAGAGCUAAUGUACAGCAUUUCCCUCAAUCCCUGGCUAUACCCCGCCUACUCAUUCAAUAGUCCAUUGCACUGUCCAACCCUGGUUUCUCGGUCCCCUGGUCUAUACAUUUUAAAAGUUGACAGUUCUGGAUUGCUCUGUUCUGCAACAAUAUGAUCCUGCUGUCGCUACAUCUACAUGAGAAAGCAAUGCUGGGCAAUAAAUAGUAUCGUUUUACUAAAUCCUGACAGGAGUGGGGGUUGUCACUGCCGGGAGCUUGGGGAGUGCAGGUAAGUCCCUCCCACGAGGAGCCAAUGGGAAUGUGGGAGGAAGCGAGUGACACAGGGAUGAAGGGGAAGAAGAAGAAGAAGGA